RNAcentral lists this ribosomal RNA (193 nucleotides) under uncultured bacterium. RNAcentral describes it as "partial 16S ribosomal RNA". It matches the Rfam family "Bacterial small subunit ribosomal RNA", at positions 57 to 267 of the family's 1533-position model. The record is from RNAcentral.
UGAAUCACAUAGCAAGUCGAACGAGACCUUCGGGUCUAGUGGCGCACGGGUGCGUAACGCGUGGGAACCUGCCUUUAGGUUCGGAAUAACUCAGAGAAAUUUGAGCUAAUACCGGAUAAUGUCUUCGGACCAAAGAUUUAUCGCCUUUAGAUGGGCCCGCGUAGGAUUAGCUAGUUGGUGGGGUAAAGGCCUA